GUUGUAUGGUUAAGUGACUAAGCGUACACGGUGGAUGCCUUGGCAGUCAGAGGCGAUGAAAGACGUAGUAACUUGCGAUAAGCCCAGAUUAGGUAGUAACAACCAUUUGAGUCUGGGAUUUCUGAAUGGGGAAACCCACGUGCAUAAGCACGUAUCCUUACCUGAAUACAUAGGGUAAGGAGGCGAACCGGGGGAACUGAAACAUCUAAGUACCCCGAGGAAAAGAAAUCAACCGAGAUUCCGAAAGUAGCGGCGAGCGAAAUUGGACUAGCCCUUAAGCUUUACACGCGUUAGACGAACGGUCUGGAAAGUCCGACGAUACAGGGUGAUAGUCCCGUAGUUGACGACGUGUGUUCAGUGAAAUCGAGUAGGGCGGGACACGUGAUAUCCUGUCUGAAUAUGGGGGGACCAUCCUCCAAGGCUAAAUACUACUGACUGACCGAUAGUGAACCAGUACCGUGAGGGAAAGGCGAAAAGAACCCCUGUGAGGGGAGUGAAAUAGAACCUGAAACCGUGUACGUACAAGCAGUAGGAGCACCUUCGUGGUGUGACUGCGUACCUUUUGUAUAAUGGGUCAGCGACUUAUAUUCAGUGGCAAGGUUAACCAUCUAGGGGAGCCGUAGGGAAACCGAGUCUUAACUGGGCGUUCAGUCUCUGGAUAUAGACCCGAAACCAGGUGAUCUAGCCAUGGGCAGGUUGAAGGUUGAGUAACAUCAACUGGAGGACCGAACCGACUAAUGUUGAAAAAUUAGCGGAUGACUUGUGGCUAGGGGUGAAAGGCCAAUCAAACCUGGAGAUAGCUGGUUCUCCCCGAAAGCUAUUUAGGUAGCGCCUCGGACGAAUACUACUGGGGGUAGAGCACUGUUAAGGCUAGGGGGUCAUCCCGACUUACCAACCCUUUGCAAACUCCGAAUACCAGUAAGUACUAUCCGGGAGACACACGGCGGGUGCUAACGUCCGUCGUGGAGAGGGAAACAACCCAGACCGCCAGCUAAGGUCCCAAAUUACUACUAAGUGGGAAACGAUGUGGGAAGGCUCAGACAGCCAGGAUGUUGGCUUAGAAGCAGCCAUCAUUUAAAGAAAGCGUAAUAGCUCACUGGUCGAGUCGGCCUGCGCGGAAGAUGUAACGGGGCUAAGUAGUAAACCGAAGCUGCGGCAAUGUGCUUUUGCACAUUGGGUAGGGGAGCGUUCUGUAAGCGGUUGAAGGUGUGUGGUAACGCAUGCUGGACGUAUCAGAAGUGCGAAUGCUGACAUGAGUAACGAUAAAGGGGGUGAAAAACCUCCUCGCCGGAAGACCAAGGGUUCCUGUCCAACGUUAAUCGGGGCAGGGUAAGUCGACCCCUAAGGCGAGGCCGAAAGGCGUAGUCGAUGGGAAACGGGUUAAUAUUCCCGUACUUCUUACAAUUGCGAUGGGGGGACGGAGAAGGCUAGGUGGGCCUGGCGACGGUUGUCCAGGUUCAAGUGCGUAGGCUU
Molecule: ribosomal RNA, 1473 nt
Filed under: Vibrio parahaemolyticus
Lineage: Bacteria; Pseudomonadati; Pseudomonadota; Gammaproteobacteria; Vibrionales; Vibrionaceae
Description: partial 23S ribosomal RNA
Rfam family: Bacterial large subunit ribosomal RNA
Source: RNAcentral